CGUAGGUGGCGAGCGUUGUCCGGAUUUACUGGGCGUAAAGAGCGCGCAGGCGGUCGUUCAAGUCGGAUGUGAAAUCCCCCGGCUCAACUGGGGAGCGUCAUUCGAUACUGAUCGACUUGAAGGCAGGAGAGGGAAGCGGAAUUCCCGGUGUAGUGGUGAAAUGCGUAGAUAUCGGGAGGAACGCCAGAGGCGAAGGCGGCUUCCUGGCCUGUUCUUGACGCUGAGGCGCGAAAGCUAGGGGAGCAAACGGGAUUAGAUACCCCGGUAGUCCUAGCUGUAAACGAUGGACACUAGGUGUUGGUGGUAUCAACCCCGCCAGUGCCGUAGCUAACGCAUUAAGUGUCCCGCCUGGGGAGUACGGCCGCAAGGCUA
RNAcentral lists this ribosomal RNA (372 nucleotides) under uncultured organism. Its description in RNAcentral is "bacterial SSU rRNA". It matches the Rfam family "Bacterial small subunit ribosomal RNA", at positions 526 to 896 of the family's 1533-position model. The record is from RNAcentral.